RNAcentral lists this ribosomal RNA (428 nucleotides) under uncultured bacterium. Its description in RNAcentral is "bacterial SSU rRNA". It matches the Rfam family "Bacterial small subunit ribosomal RNA", at positions 355 to 774 of the family's 1533-position model. The record is from RNAcentral.
UGGGGAAUUUUGGACAAUGGGCGAAAGCCUGAUCCAGCCAUGCCGCGUGCGGGAAGAAGGCCUUCGGGUUGUAAACCGCUUUAGUCCAGGAAAAAGGGGUGCGGGGUUAAUACCUUCGUGCUUUGAUGGUACUGGAAGAAUAAGCACCGGCUAACUACGUGCCAGCAGCCGCGGUAAUACGUAGGGUGCAAGCGUUAAUCUGAAUUACUGGGCGUAAAGCGUGCGCAGGCGGUUAUGCAAGACAGAUGUGAAAUCCCCGGGCUCAACCUGGGAACUGCAUUUGUGAAUGCAUAGCUGGAGUGCGGCAGAGGGGGAUGGAAUUCCGCGUGUAGCAGUGAAAUGCGUAGAUAUGCGGAGGAACACCGAUGGCGAAGGCAGCCUCCUGGGCCAGUACUGACGCUCAUGCACGAAAGCGUGGGGAGCAAACA